GUUUGAUGCUUUAUUGCUCACGAUACACAGAUUGGAACAGACACAGUUUCUCACAGCAGAGCACACAAUGCUGUACUUUCUUAAAGAAGAGUCUUUGUCCCACAAGGACACAGAAAUUAAUUCCCGGGUGAUGAAAUGAGUCAGCAUACAACAUUCUAAAACUGAUAGGAGGAGGCCAACACAUUCAGGAGAACAUCAAAAGCAACAUGCAAGUCCACAAAGUCACAAGAAAUCUGAAGCUGAUCACUACACGCUUGUCAAUACAGGUUUAAUCUUGAAGCUUAAGUUCAUGAAGGGUCUAGGUCCCUGAGCUAGCUCUGAUGUCUAUGGUUGGCAUAAUUGGAUAAAUCCAGAGUUGUUAAGGACCCCUGAAUAAUGUACCAGGUAUAAAUAUUAAAAAACAGAUGGUGAUGGUAUGAUAUAGAUUAGAAACAAAG
RNAcentral lists this long non-coding RNA (437 nucleotides) under Bos taurus (domestic cattle). RNAcentral's name for it is "long non-coding RNA NONBTAT006380". Lineage: Eukaryota; Metazoa; Chordata; Mammalia; Artiodactyla; Bovidae. The record is from RNAcentral.